RNAcentral lists this small RNA (321 nucleotides) under Pan troglodytes (chimpanzee). RNAcentral's name for it is "processed transcript". Lineage: Eukaryota; Metazoa; Chordata; Mammalia; Primates; Hominidae. The record is from RNAcentral.
UGCUGCUGUUGCUGCUGCUGCUGCUGUUGCUGCUGCUGCUACUGCUGCUGCUGCUACUGCUGCUGCUUGGCCCUGGCUGGAGACAUCUCACUACACCCAGGAGCAGCCACUUCCCCAGCUCUCCUCCUCCUCCUUCGCCUCCUCCUCCUCCACUCCCCCCCUUUAUUACCCUUUGUGUCAUCCUCCACAGCUCCAGGGAAGGCACUCAAAAGUGGGGGGCAGGAAAGAUGUACAUUGAAGAUGUCAGUUUCUACAUGUGGGAAGUAGACAUUGAAGGCUUUAUGGUUUACAGACAAGAUCUUUAGAAGUUAAGCACUAAAG